Non-coding RNA from Cicer arietinum (chickpea), 456 nucleotides. The record is from RefSeq and is a predicted model, not a curated record. NCBI's taxonomy places the organism in Eukaryota, Viridiplantae, Streptophyta, Magnoliopsida, Fabales, Fabaceae.
AUCUCUAUCACGUUUUGCUGAUGUUAUUGCUCUUUGUGUUCAGUCGGAACCUGAGUUCCGACCACCUAUGUCAGAGGUGGUUCAAGCGAUGGUACGAUUAGUGCAGCGAGCUAACAUGAGCAGGCGGACAUUUGGAAGUGAUCAUGGAGGAUCCCUCCGAGGAAGUGAUGAGCCAGCUAUACGAGACAUCUAAUCUAUUCUAAUUCUAAUGGGAAUAUAAUCCUUUUGGAGUUAUGCUACUAGGAUGUCCCCAAAGCUAAUAUUGUGCUUAUAUUUUAAUUUUUGUUCUUUUAACCUUUUAAGUUAGAUUGAUUGCACCUCAAAUUAGAUUGAUUGUACUAAUAUUGUACUUAUAUUUUACUUUUUGUUCUUGCUUGUCCCUCAACCUAUACGGCUUUGUAAGUUAGAUUGAUUGCAUCUUCUUCUAUUAACCAAGUUAGACAACGGGUAUUGCAU